GCGGAUCGUUGACGGGGAGUUUAGGGAGGGGGAGAACAAAUCCUACCCGAGUUAGUUGCUCUGCUAGCCGGCCAUCAAGUGGCUACAUAGAGAAAUUCAGGCGCGCGUGUGCGUGCGGAAUCUAUCUGGGAUGCUGUCUUCCUCGCGCACCCUUCUCUCGCUCGCGCGCUCGGAGCCGUCGCCAGGAGUGGUAGGCUCCAAUGUGACAGCAGCAGCGCUUGCUUUCUAAAGAAAGCUUCGCUCUCACUUUUCAGUCUGUCUCAUUACCGCUCUCAUUGUUUCUUUCGACAGCGAGAAACGGAGCAGUUCACUUGGAGUCUAUUUGGAAUAAGAGAGCUGUUUUCUGACUGGAGAGAAGGAAGAUAAGGCUCCUCUGGAUUUCCUAAGGAAUUUUAUCGGAACGCCUUGUUACCGUGGCUUUUGAAUUCAUCAGCUGGGGUAUAUAAUGUGACCAACUGUUCCACAAUAGGGAAAUUCCGAGGAGUUCAGAUUCUUUCAUUCCUUCUGGUCCGAGGCAGCAUUGGUAUCAAGUGUUCCUAACAGGUAAGAGC
This is a long non-coding RNA of Oncorhynchus keta (chum salmon), 551 nucleotides long. RefSeq lists it as uncharacterized. The transcript has 5 exons. NCBI's taxonomy places the organism in Eukaryota, Metazoa, Chordata, Actinopteri, Salmoniformes, Salmonidae. The record is from RefSeq and is a predicted model, not a curated record.